AGAGUUUGAUCCUGGCUCAGGAUGAACGUUGGCGGUGUACCUAAUACAUGCAAGUCGAACGGAGUUAAUAGCAAUAUUGACUUAGUGGCGAACGGGUGAGUAACGCGUUGGUGAUCUGCCUCGAAGUGUGGAAUAACGUUCCGAAAGGAUCGCUAAUACCGCAUGUGCUCUCGAUUUUUAGAAAGUUGAGAGUAAAGGAUUUAUUCGCUUCGAGAGGAGCCUGCGUCCCAUCAGCUGGUUGGUAGGGUAACGGCCUACCAAGGCUAUGACGGGUAGGGGACCUGAGAGGGUGGCCCCCCACAAUGGAACUGAAACACGGUCCAUACACCUACGGGUGGCAGCAGUAGGGAAUAUUAGAAAUGGACGAAAGUCUGAUCUAGCAACACCGCGUGUGCGAAGAAGGCCUUCGGGUCGUAAAGCACUUUUUGGAAGGAAUAGGAAGGAAUGUACUUCCAGAAUAAGUCUCGGCUAACUACGUGCCAGCAGCCGCGGUAACACGUAGGAGGCAAACGUUAUCCGGAUUUACUGGGCGUAAAGCGCGUGUAGGUGGUACUGUAAGUAGGGCGUGAAAGCUCCCGGCUCAACUGGGAGAGGCCGUUCUAAACUGCAGAACUAGAGGAUGGUAGAGGGAGGUGGAAUUCCAGGUGUAGCGGUGGAAUGCGCAGAUAUCUGGAGGAACACCAGUGGCGAAGGCGGCCUCCUGGACCAUUCCUGACACUCAGACGCGAAAGCUAGGGUAGCAAACGGGAUUAGAGACCCCGGUAGUCCUAGCCCUAAACGAUGUAGACUAGGCGUCGGUGGUUUAAUCACCAUCGGUGUCCAAGCUAACGCGAUAAGUCUACCGCCUGGGGACUACGGCCGCAAGGUUAAAACUCAAAGGAAUUGACGG
This 889-nucleotide ribosomal RNA is filed under the name uncultured Anaerolineaceae bacterium. RNAcentral's name for it is "bacterial SSU rRNA". It matches the Rfam family "Bacterial small subunit ribosomal RNA", at positions 8 to 916 of the family's 1533-position model. The record is from RNAcentral. Lineage: Bacteria; Bacillati; Chloroflexota; Anaerolineae; Anaerolineales; Anaerolineaceae.